RNAcentral lists this ribosomal RNA (301 nucleotides) under uncultured bacterium. RNAcentral's name for it is "partial 16S ribosomal RNA". It matches the Rfam family "Bacterial small subunit ribosomal RNA", at positions 509 to 807 of the family's 1533-position model. The record is from RNAcentral.
CAGUAGCCACGGUAAUACGGAGGGCGCGAGCGUUACCCGGAUUUACUGGGCGUAAAGGGCGUGUAGGCGGCCUGGGGCGUCCCAUGUGAAAGGCCACGGCUCAACCGUGGAGGAGCGUGGGAUACGCUCAGGCUAGAGGGUGGGAGAGGGUGGUGGAAUUCCCGGAGUAGCGGUGAAAUGCGCAGAUACCGGGAGGAACGCCGAUGGCGAAGGCAGCCACCUGGUCCACUUCUGACGCUGAGGCGCGAAAGCGUGGGGAGCAAACCGGAUUAGAUACCCCAGUAGUCCCUGUCUCUUAUAC